This 222-nucleotide small RNA is filed under the name Pongo abelii (Sumatran orangutan). Its description in RNAcentral is "processed transcript". The record is from RNAcentral. Lineage: Eukaryota; Metazoa; Chordata; Mammalia; Primates; Hominidae.
CGCCCAGGGUAGCGAGAUGGUAACUUGCAAGUCCGAGUUCUACCAUGAUGAGUUUAAAAGAAUCUACCUGCUUUUCUUCAGUUUCCAGAGCACUCAGGUAGUUGUAUUUUGUCCAGAGUUUACAGCUGACACUUGCAGCAACUGAGGAGCCAUUUGUUAAGAGUUUCUUCUGCCAUACUGGAAGCAGAUGCCUCACUACAGCUUUCUUUUUCUUUCCUCCUC